UACGGAGGAUGCGAGCGUUAUCCGGAUUUAUUGGGUUUAAAGGGUGCGUAGGCGGGAUGCCAAGUCAGCGGUAAAAAUGCGGUACUCAACGCCGUCGAGCCGUUGAAACUGGCGUUCUUGAGUGGGCGAGAAGUAUGCGGAAUGCGUGGUGUAGCGGUGAAAUGCAUAGAUAUCACGCAGAACUCCGAUUGCGAAGGCAGCAUACCGGCGCCCUACUGACGCUGAGGCACGAAAGCGUGGGUAUCGAACAGG
Molecule: ribosomal RNA, 252 nt
Filed under: uncultured bacterium
Lineage: Bacteria
Description: partial 16S ribosomal RNA
Rfam family: Bacterial small subunit ribosomal RNA
Source: RNAcentral